ACGGCUCAGUAACACGUAGCUAAUCUACCCUUAAGUCAAGGAUAACCUCGGGAAACUGAGGAUAAUACUUGAUAGGAGAUAUACCCUGGAAAGAUUUAUCUCAUAAAUUCGAGCUUAAGGAUGAGGCUGCGGCGGAUUAGGUGGUUGGCGGGGUAAAGGCCCACCAAGCCGAUGAUCCGUAAGGGCUCUUAGCGGAGAGGCCCUGAGAGGGAAUCUGAGACACUAUUCCCAGCCCUACGGGGUGCAGCAGGUAAGAAUCUUUUGCAAUGCGCGCAAGCGUGACAAAGCGAGCCAGAGUGCUUUUCAAUUGAAAAGCUUUUGCUAAAUCUAAAAAUUUUGGCGAAUAAGGACUGGGUAAGACUAGUGCCAGCCGCCGCGGUAAUCCUAGCGGUCCAAGUCGCAGCCAUCAUUAUUGGGUCUAAAACAUCCGUAGCUUGCUUAAUAAGUUCCUUGUGAAAUCUUAUCUCUUAAGGGUGAGGCGUGCAAGGAGUACUGCUAAGCUAGAGACUGGAAGACGUAAGAAGUAUGCUCAAAGUAGCGGUAAAAUGUGUUAAUCUUGAGCAGACUCACAACAGCGAAGGCAUCUUACGAGGACAGUUCUGACAGUAAAGGAUGAAGGCUAGGGGCGCGAAGUGGAUUAGAUACCCAUGUAGUCCUAGCAGUAAACACUGCGCACUAAACAUUAGUACCUCCUCGAGAGGUAUUGGUGCUGUAGAGAAGUCGAAGAGUGCGCUACCUGGGAAGUAUAGCCGCAAGGCCGAAACUUAAAGGAAUUGGCGGGGGAGCAC
RNAcentral lists this ribosomal RNA (788 nucleotides) under uncultured archaeon. RNAcentral's name for it is "bacterial SSU rRNA". It matches the Rfam family "Archaeal small subunit ribosomal RNA", at positions 85 to 879 of the family's 1478-position model. The record is from RNAcentral.